Molecule: non-coding RNA, 81 nt
Filed under: Catenibacterium sp. CAG:290
Lineage: Bacteria; Bacillati; Bacillota; Erysipelotrichia; Erysipelotrichales; Coprobacillaceae
Also listed under: 1 other name
Description: ZMP/ZTP riboswitch aptamer (pfl RNA motif)
Rfam family: ZMP/ZTP riboswitch aptamer (pfl RNA motif)
About the family: Previously known as pfl RNA. ZMP is also known as AICAR.
Source: Rfam by way of RNAcentral
ACUGUAUUAUACGACUGACGGAAGUGGAAUUAACCACAUGGAGUAUAAUUUCUUGAAGAGCCGACCGUCUGGGCAACGUCC